This 3028-nucleotide ribosomal RNA is filed under the name Salmonella enterica subsp. enterica serovar Ouakam str. SA20034636. RNAcentral describes it as "bacterial LSU rRNA". It matches the Rfam family "Bacterial large subunit ribosomal RNA". Lineage: Bacteria; Pseudomonadati; Pseudomonadota; Gammaproteobacteria; Enterobacterales; Enterobacteriaceae. The record is from RNAcentral.
GGGUUGUGAGGUUAAGCGACUAAGCGUACACGGUGGAUGCCCUGGCAGUCAGAGGCGAUGAAGGGCGUGCUAAUCUGCGAUAAGCGCCGGUAAGGUGAUAUGAACCGUUAUAACCGGCGAUACCCGAAUGGGGAAACCCAGUGUGACUCGUCACACUAUCAUUAACUGAAUCCAUAGGUUAAUGAGGCGAACCGGGGGAACUGAAACAUCUAAGUACCCCGAGGAAAAGAAAUCAACCGAGAUUCCCCCAGUAGCGGCGAGCGAACGGGGAGGAGCCCAGAGCCUGAAUCAGCAUGUGUGUUAGUGGAAGCGUCUGGAAAGGCGCGCGAUACAGGGUGACAGCCCCGUACACAAAAGCGCAUGUGCUGUGAGCUCGAUGAGUAGGGCGGGACACGUGGUAUCCUGUCUGAAUAUGGGGGGACCAUCCUCCAAGGCUAAAUACUCCUGACUGACCGAUAGUGAACCAGUACCGUGAGGGAAAGGCGAAAAGAACCCCGGCGAGGGGAGUGAAAAAGAACCUGAAACCGUGUACGUACAAGCAGUGGGAGCCCCACCACUAAGCCAGUGGUGAACUCCACAUACGCAUCCUUUGCUGAGGAUACGGUUAACGGAGCGAAAGCGACGUUCAACCUCAAAAGAAGCAGAGGGGCUUAGUGGUGGGUGACUGCGUACCUUUUGUAUAAUGGGUCAGCGACUUAUAUUCUGUAGCAAGGUUAACCGAAUAGGGGAGCCGGAGGGAAACCGAGUCUUAACCGGGCGUUAAGUUGCAGGGUAUAGACCCGAAACCCGGUGAUCUAGCCAUGGGCAGGUUGAAGGUUGGGUAACACUAACUGGAGGACCGAACCGACUAAUGUUGAAAAAUUAGCGGAUGACCUGUGGCUGGGGGUGAAAGGCCAAUCAAACCGGGAGAUAGCUGGUUCUCCCCGAAAGCUAUUUAGGUAGCGCCUCGUGAAUUCAUCUCCGGGGGUAGAGCACUGUUUCGGCUAGGGGGCCAUCCCGGCUUACCAACCCGAUGCAAACUGCGAAUACCGGAGAAUGUUAUCACGGGAGACACACGGCGGGUGCUAACGUCCGUCGUGAAGAGGGAAACAACCCAGACCGCCAGCUAAGGUCCCAAAGUCAUGGUUAAGUGGGAAACGAUGUGGGAAGGCCCAGACAGCCAGGAUGUUGGCUUAGAAGCAGCCAUCAUUUAAAGAAAGCGUAAUAGCUCACUGGUCGAGUCGGCCUGCGCGGAAGAUGUAACGGGGCUAAACCAUGCACCGAAGCUGCGGCAGCGACACUGUGUGUUGUUGGGUAGGGGAGCGUUCUGUAAGCCUGUGAAGGUGUGUCGUGAGGCAUGCUGGAGGUAUCAGAAGUGCGAAUGCUGACAUAAGUAACGAUAAAGCGGGUGAAAAGCCCGCUCGCCGGAAGACCAAGGGUUCCUGUCCAACGUUAAUCGGGGCAGGGUGAGUCGACCCCUAAGGCGAGGCCGAAAGGCGUAGUCGAUGGGAAACGGGUUAAUAUUCCCGUACUUGGUGUUACUGCGAAGGGGGGACGGAGAAGGCUAUGUUGGCCGGGCGACGGUUGUCCCGGUUUAAGCGUGUAGGCUGGUUUUCCAGGCAAAUCCGGAAAAUCAAGGCUGAGGCGUGAUGACGAGGCACUACGGUGCUGAAGCAACAAAUGCCCUGCUUCCAGGAAAAGCCUCUAAGCAUCAGGUAACAUCAAAUCGUACCCCAAACCGACACAGGUGGUCAGGUAGAGAAUACCAAGGCGCUUGAGAGAACUCGGGUGAAGGAACUAGGCAAAAUGGUGCCGUAACUUCGGGAGAAGGCACGCUGACACGUAGGUGAAGUGAUUUACUCAUGGAGCUGAAGUCAGUCGAAGAUACCAGCUGGCUGCAACUGUUUAUUAAAAACACAGCACUGUGCAAACACGAAAGUGGACGUAUACGGUGUGACGCCUGCCCGGUGCCGGAAGGUUAAUUGAUGGGGUCAGCGCAAGCGAAGCUCCUGAUCGAAGCCCCGGUAAACGGCGGCCGUAACUAUAACGGUCCUAAGGUAGCGAAAUUCCUUGUCGGGUAAGUUCCGACCUGCACGAAUGGCGUAAUGAUGGCCAGGCUGUCUCCACCCGAGACUCAGUGAAAUUGAACUCGCUGUGAAGAUGCAGUGUACCCGCGGCAAGACGGAAAGACCCCGUGAACCUUUACUAUAGCUUGACACUGAACAUUGAGCCUUGAUGUGUAGGAUAGGUGGGAGGCUUUGAAGCGUGGACGCCAGUCUGCGUGGAGCCGACCUUGAAAUACCACCCUUUAAUGUUUGAUGUUCUAACGUGGACCCGUAAUCCGGGUUGCGGACAGUGUCUGGUGGGUAGUUUGACUGGGGCGGUCUCCUCCUAAAGAGUAACGGAGGAGCACGAAGGUUGGCUAAUCCUGGUCGGACAUCAGGAGGUUAGUGCAAUGGCAUAAGCCAGCUUGACUGCGAGCGUGACGGCGCGAGCAGGUGCGAAAGCAGGUCAUAGUGAUCCGGUGGUUCUGAAUGGAAGGGCCAUCGCUCAACGGAUAAAAGGUACUCCGGGGAUAACAGGCUGAUACCGCCCAAGAGUUCAUAUCGACGGCGGUGUUUGGCACCUCGAUGUCGGCUCAUCACAUCCUGGGGCUGAAGUAGGUCCCAAGGGUAUGGCUGUUCGCCAUUUAAAGUGGUACGCGAGCUGGGUUUAGAACGUCGUGAGACAGUUCGGUCCCUAUCUGCCGUGGGCGCUGGAGAACUGAGGGGGGCUGCUCCUAGUACGAGAGGACCGGAGUGGACGCAUCACUGGUGUUCGGGUUGUCAUGCCAAUGGCACUGCCCGGUAGCUAAAUGCGGAAGAGAUAAGUGCUGAAAGCAUCUAAGCACGAAACUUGCCCCGAGAUGAGUUCUCCCUGAGACUUAGAGUCUCCUGAAGGAACGUUGAAGACGACGACGUUGAUAGGCCGGGUGUGUAAGCGCAGCGAUGCGUUGAGCUAACCGGUACUAAUGAACCGUGAGGCUUAACCUUACAACGCCGAAGCUGUU